UUUGCCUCUGACACGGUACCUGGCAAUGUUCAGGACAGAGGCUAAUCUGUGAGCCUAGGACCAGAGUGCUGACGAGGUGCAGCAGGGCCACACUGGACCCAGGGCGUGGACAUGGAGAAACUCAUCAUUGGAACUCAUCUAAGCUUAUUUUGAUCAAAGGAAAGGCUGUAAAGGAUUAGAGGGGAAAAGUUGGACUUUCGUUCACACAUGAGUGCAAGGACAAGAUCUCCUGAGGAUCACUCUUCGUGGGGGGACUCAUGACUUCCCUAAAUACCAAGUUUCCAGUUCAGUUAGAACUUGGAAUUCCAACAGACUGAAGUAGAUGACCCAGUGACAUACUGAUAAGAUCCCUGCACACCCAUUCUAACCCAACUUUUGUGUGGUCGCAAAAUCCAAAAUGUCUCAUAGUGGAAAAUUAUCCUGGUGGAGUCAAUACAGGUCUUAACUUUGA
RNAcentral lists this long non-coding RNA (451 nucleotides) under Equus caballus (horse). RNAcentral's name for it is "lncRNA (ENSECAG00000044984.1)". Lineage: Eukaryota; Metazoa; Chordata; Mammalia; Perissodactyla; Equidae. The record is from RNAcentral.